UACGUAGGGUGCGAGCGUUAAUCGGAAUUACUGGGCGUAAAGCGUGCGCAGGCGGUUUUGCAAGUCAGAUGUGAAAGCCCCGGGCUCAACCUGGGAAUUGCAUUUGAAACUACAAGGCUAGAGUGUGUCAGAGGGGGGUAGAAUUCCACGUGUAGCAGUGAAAUGCGUAGAGAUGUGGAGGGAUACCGAUGGCGAAGGCAGCCCCCUGGGAUAACACUGACGCUCAUGCACGAAAGCGUGGGGAGCAAACAGG
Molecule: ribosomal RNA, 253 nt
Filed under: uncultured bacterium
Lineage: Bacteria
Description: partial 16S ribosomal RNA
Rfam family: Bacterial small subunit ribosomal RNA
Source: RNAcentral